GUAGGGAAUAUUGGGCAAUGGUCGGAAGACUGACCCAGCCAUGCCGCGUGCAGGAAGACGGCCCUCUGGGUUGUAAACUGCUUUAUCUGGGAAGAAAAAGGCCAUGCGUGGCAAAUUGCCGGUACCAGAUGAAUAAGCACCGGCUAACUCCGUGCCAGCAGCCGCGGUAAUACGGAGGGUGCGAGCGUUGUCCGGAUUUAUUGGGUUUAAAGGGUGCGUAGGCGGCUGAUUAAGUCAGCGGUGAAAGACUUCGGCUUAACCGGAGCAGUGCCGUUGAUACUGGUUGGCUUGAGUGUCGGAGGGGUACAUGGAAUUGAUGGUGUAGCGGUGAAAUGCAUAGAUACCAUCAGGAACAACGAUAGCGAAGGAAUUGUACUGGCCGACAACUGACGCUGAUGCACGAAAGUGUGGGGAUCGAACAGGAUUAGAUACCCCAGUAGUCC
This 443-nucleotide ribosomal RNA is filed under the name uncultured bacterium. Its description in RNAcentral is "partial 16S ribosomal RNA". It matches the Rfam family "Bacterial small subunit ribosomal RNA", at positions 354 to 796 of the family's 1533-position model. The record is from RNAcentral.